RNAcentral lists this transfer RNA (72 nucleotides) under Candidatus Nutricula glyptotermitis. RNAcentral describes it as "tRNA-Gln". It matches the Rfam family "tRNA". Rfam says of the family: Transfer RNA (tRNA) molecules are approximately 80 nucleotides in length. The record is from RNAcentral. Lineage: Bacteria; Bacillati; Actinomycetota; Actinomycetes; Bifidobacteriales; Bifidobacteriaceae.
UGGUCUAUAGUGUAAUUGGCAGCACGAGAGUUUCUGGUUCUCUUAGUUUAGGUUCGAGUCCUGAUAGACCAG